This is a small nucleolar RNA of Coffea eugenioides, 105 nucleotides long. The record is from RefSeq and is a predicted model, not a curated record. Lineage: Eukaryota; Viridiplantae; Streptophyta; Magnoliopsida; Gentianales; Rubiaceae.
AAUCCAUGGUGUGGAUAUUUCCGAAACAAAUCUCUAAACCUUUCCUCCGCUUCAUAUAAUAAUUCACCAUCCUGUUGGCUAAAACUAGUAAUAUCCUCUAAACUU